Pteropus vampyrus (large flying fox) is the source of this 119-nucleotide ribosomal RNA. The record is from Ensembl. NCBI's taxonomy places the organism in Eukaryota, Metazoa, Chordata, Mammalia, Chiroptera, Pteropodidae.
GUCUACUGCCAUGCUUCUCUGAACAAGCCUGAUCCCGUCUGAUCUCGGAAGCUAAGCAGAGUCGGGCCUGGUUAGUAUUGGGAUGGGAGACCACCUAGGAGGACCAGCUGCUGUAGGCA